RNAcentral lists this non-coding RNA (223 nucleotides) under Lentilactobacillus curieae. RNAcentral describes it as "Lactobacillus curieae T-box sequence". It matches the Rfam family "T-box leader". From Rfam's summary of the family: Uncharged tRNA acts as the effector for transcription antitermination of genes in the T-box leader family. T-boxes are found upstream of many aminoacyl-tRNA synthetase genes and some amino acid biosynthetic genes usually in Gram-positive bacteria. The record is from RNAcentral. Lineage: Bacteria; Bacillati; Bacillota; Bacilli; Lactobacillales; Lactobacillaceae.
GUAAAUGCGAUAUAGAAGAAGCAGUAAGUUAUACCGAUUAUUCAGAGACUUCUGGGUUGGUGCGAACAGAGGAAAUUGGUUAGCUGAAUUCAUCUUCUUAGCUGAAAUUGGGAGUUCUAAUAACGAAAAAUUUUCCGGUUAUCGCCGUUAUCGAUUUGAAGUGUUCGUCUAGUCUUUACUGGACGUGAACUAGGGUGGUACCGCGAGAAACCUCGUCCCUUUU